GGCGGACGGGUGAGUAAUACUUAGGAAUCUGCCCAUUAGUGGGGGACAACUAGAAGAAAUUCUGGCUAAUACCGUAUACGCCCUACGGGGGAAAGCGGGGGAUCUUCGGACCUCGCGCUAAUGGAUGAGCCUAAGUCGGAUUAGCUUGUUGGUGAGGUAAAGGCUCACCAAGGCGACGAUCCGUAGCUGGUCUGAGAGGACGAUCAGCCACACUGGGACUGAGACACGGCCCAG
Molecule: ribosomal RNA, 234 nt
Filed under: uncultured bacterium
Lineage: Bacteria
Description: partial 16S ribosomal RNA
Rfam family: Bacterial small subunit ribosomal RNA
Source: RNAcentral